This 89-nucleotide transfer RNA is filed under the name Cognatilysobacter xinjiangensis. RNAcentral's name for it is "Lysobacter xinjiangensis tRNA-Thr". Lineage: Bacteria; Pseudomonadati; Pseudomonadota; Gammaproteobacteria; Lysobacterales; Lysobacteraceae. The record is from RNAcentral.
ACGUUCGACAGCGGGACGCGCGGAUCGUUGGUGCUGAUCUGGAUGUCCUUGGCCGUGUAGGUCGAGUUCGACACCACGUUGAACGUGCC